CCCUAUGGGGUGCAGCAGGCGAGAAAACUUUGCAAUGUGCGCAAGCACGACAAGGUUAAUCCGAGUGUUUCCUGCUAAAGGAAUCUUUUGUUAGUUUUAAAACCACUAUUGAAUAAGGGGUGGGCAAGUUCUGGUGUCAGCCGCCGCGGUAAAACCAGCACCUCAAGUGGUCAGGAGGAUUAUUGGGCCUAAAGCAUCCGUAGCCUGUUCUGUAAGUUUCCGGUUAAAUCCAUUAGCUCAACUAAUGGGCUGCCGAAAAUACUGCAGAACUAGGGAGUGGGAGAGGUAGACGGUACUCGGUAGGAAGGGGUAAAAUCCUUUGAUCUAUUGAUGACCACCUGUGGCGAAGGCGGUCUACCAGAACACGUUCGACGGUGAGGGAUGAAAGCUGGGGGAGCAAACCGGAUUAGAUACCCGGGUAGUCCCAGCUGUAAACGAUGCAGACUCGGUGAUGCGCUGGCUUGUGGCCAGUGCAGUGCCGCAGGGAAGCCGUUAAGUUUGCCGCCUGGGAAGUACGUACGCAAGUAUGAAACUUAAAGGAAUUGGCGGGGGAGCACCACAAGGGGUGAAGCCUGCGGUUCAAUUGGAGUCAACGCCGGAAAACUCACCGGAGGCGACUGUUACAUGAAAGUCAGCUGAUGACCUUACUCGAUUUUCAGAGAGGA
This 665-nucleotide ribosomal RNA is filed under the name uncultured marine group I thaumarchaeote. RNAcentral describes it as "bacterial SSU rRNA". It matches the Rfam family "Archaeal small subunit ribosomal RNA", at positions 321 to 988 of the family's 1478-position model. Lineage: Archaea; Thermoproteati; Nitrososphaerota. The record is from RNAcentral.